RNAcentral lists this ribosomal RNA (450 nucleotides) under uncultured bacterium. RNAcentral's name for it is "partial 16S ribosomal RNA". It matches the Rfam family "Bacterial small subunit ribosomal RNA", at positions 354 to 796 of the family's 1533-position model. The record is from RNAcentral.
GUGGGGAAUAUUGGACAAUGGGCGAAAGCCUGAUCCAGCCAUGCUGCGUGUGUGAAGAAGGUCUUCGGAUUGUAAAGCACUUUAAGUUGGGAGGAAGGGCAGUAAGUUAAUACCUUGCUGUUUUGACGUUACCGACAGAAUAAGCACCGGCUAACUUCGUGCCAGCAGCCGCGGUAAUACGAAGGGUGCAAGCGUUAAUCGGAAUUACUGGGCGUAAAGCGCGCGUAGGUGGUUUUGUAAGUUGGAGGUGAAAUCCCCGGGCUCAACCUGGGAACUGCCUCCAAAACUGCAUGACUAGAGUACGGUAGAGGGUAGUGGAAUUUCCUGUGUAGCGGUGAAAUGCGUAGAUAUAGGAAGGAACACCAGUGGCGAAGGCGACUACCUGGACUGAUACUGACACUGAGGUGCGAAAGCGUGGGGAGCGAACAGGAUUAGAAACCCGUGUAGUCC